UUAAUUUAAUUAUAACUUGUUCAAAAAUGUCUGACAAGUGUAAAAGGAAAAGAAUUAAAUUAGAAUGUAUGGAUUGUGGAAGUAUUUUUAACAAUGAUUAUAAAUUGAAACACGAAAGGCAAGUACAUAGUGGUAAAAAAAUUAAAACGAAACAUUAUGGAGUACCAAGCAAAUAAUAUGUUCUGAAGCUACUUCAAAAUCUGAUCAGAUAAACUUAAUCCCGAAACUACCUGUAGAAAAUCAAGAAAGUCAUAUCACUUUAACCGAAAACAUAAAUG
Molecule: long non-coding RNA, 278 nt
Organism: Acyrthosiphon pisum (pea aphid)
Lineage: Eukaryota; Metazoa; Arthropoda; Insecta; Hemiptera; Aphididae
Exons: 2
Source: RefSeq, a predicted model, not a curated record